GCUUGCUGGAUGCUGACGAGCGGCGGACGGGUGAGUAAUGCAUAGGAAUCUGCCCGAUAGUGGGGGAUAACCUGGGGAAACCCAGGCUAAUACCGCAUACGUCCUACGGGAGAAAGGGGGCUCCGGCUCCCGCUAUGGGAUGAGCCUAUGUCGGAUUAGCUAGUUGGUGAGGUAACGGCUCACCAAGGCCACGAUCCGUAGCUGGUCUGAGAGGAUGAUCAGCCACAUCGGGACUGAGACACGGCCCGAACUCCUACGGGAGGCAGCAGUGGGGAAUAUUGGACAAUGGGGGAAAGCCUGAUCCAGCCAUGCCGCGUGUGUGAAGAAGGCCCUCGGGUUGUAAAGCACUUUCAGCGAGGAAGAACGCCUAGCGGUUAAUACCCGCUAGGAAAGACAUCACUCGCAGAAGAAGCACCGGCUAACUCCGUGCCAGCAGCCGCGGUAAUACGGAGGGUGCAAGCGUUAAUCGGAAUUACUGGGCGUAAAGCGCGCGUAGGUGGCUUGAUAAGCCGGUUGUGAAAGCCCCGGGCUCAACCUGGGAACGGCAUCCGGAACUGUCAAGCUAGAGUGCAGGAGAGGAAAGGUAGAAUUCCCGGUGUAGCGGUGAAAUGCGUAGAGAUCGGGAGGAAUACCAGUGGCGA
Molecule: ribosomal RNA, 641 nt
Filed under: Vreelandella aquamarina
Lineage: Bacteria; Pseudomonadati; Pseudomonadota; Gammaproteobacteria; Oceanospirillales; Halomonadaceae
Description: bacterial SSU rRNA
Rfam family: Bacterial small subunit ribosomal RNA
Source: RNAcentral